GUGAAGGAGAGAGGAGAGAAGGGUGAAGGAGAGGGGAGAGAGGGGAGAAGAGAGGAGAGAGGGGUGAAGAAGAGAGGAGAGUGGGGUGAAGAACAGAGGACAGAGGGGUGAAGGGGAGGGGUGAAGAAGAGCGGAGGGAGGGGUAAAGAAGAGUGGAGGGAGGGGUAAAGAAGAGCGGAGGGAGAGGUAAAGAAGAGAGAAGAGAGGGGUGAAGGAGAGAGGAGAGAGGGGUGAAGAAGAGAGGAGAGAAGGAUGAGAGGGGUGAAGAAGAGAGGAGAGAGGGGUGAAGGAGAGAGGGGUGAAGAAUAGAGGAGAGAGGGGUGAAGAAGAGAGGAGAGAGGGGGGAGAGAGAGAGGAGAGAGGGGUGAAGGAGAGAGGAGAGAGGGGUGAAGGAGAGAAGGAGAGAGG
Oncorhynchus tshawytscha (Chinook salmon) is the source of this 408-nucleotide long non-coding RNA. The record is from Ensembl. Lineage: Eukaryota; Metazoa; Chordata; Actinopteri; Salmoniformes; Salmonidae.